AUGCUACAUGAGCAUUACUUUUAUUUUGAAUUUAAUUUUGUGUUUGAGCCUCUUUUACAUAUUAAGUGUAAUAUCACAGACUUUCUUCUUUCAGGGUUAACUGGCCAUGCAAAAACUGUUGUGAGUACUAUAUGUUUUUGGCUUGCUUUUGUUCACUUUUGUCCUUUCCAAAGUGGAAUAAGAAAAGAAAGUCAAAACAGGCUCAACCAUGACUACUCUGCUCUUGUGAUCACCAAUUUCUGCUCCAUUGCGCACAAGAAAGUAGUGACUAUUUAUUUGCUUAAACAAUAUGUCCAGCGCUGCCUGUCCUGCUAA
This 315-nucleotide ribosomal RNA is filed under the name Triticum aestivum (bread wheat). RNAcentral describes it as "partial small subunit ribosomal RNA". The record is from RNAcentral. Lineage: Eukaryota; Viridiplantae; Streptophyta; Magnoliopsida; Poales; Poaceae.